RNAcentral lists this ribosomal RNA (931 nucleotides) under Monobiceros langi. Its description in RNAcentral is "partial large subunit ribosomal RNA". It matches the Rfam family "Eukaryotic large subunit ribosomal RNA", at positions 107 to 846 of the family's 3401-position model. Lineage: Eukaryota; Metazoa; Platyhelminthes; Polycladida; Pseudocerotidae. The record is from RNAcentral.
GCCCAGCACCGAAUCCUUCACCAUUUUGGGUGACAGGAAAUGUGGUGUUUAGGCCGUACCUUGUCCCGACACGUCUCUCCUCAAGUCCACUUGAUUGUGGCCCCAGGCCCAGAGAGGGUGUAAGGCCCGUGGAGGCGAGAUGUUCGGUACCUGGUGCGUCCUUAGAGUCGGGUUGUUUGGGAAUGCAGCCCUAAGCGGGUGGUAAACUCCAUCCAAGGCUAAAUACUAGCACGAGUCCGAUAGCGAAGAAGUACCGCGAGGGAAGGUUGAAAAGAACUUUGAAGAGAGAGUUCAAGAGUACGUGAAACCGCUGAGAGGCAAACUGGUGGAACUGAAAUGGUCCCGAGGAAUUCAGCCGUUGGAGGUUGCACAGUCGGUGGUGAUUGAUUUAACGACAGCGCCAUCGGAUGACGUUUCCAUCAUCGGUGCACUUUCCUCGUUUGGGCCCGACCACGACCGGUGAGUUGAUCUGUCUGUCGUGCUUGGAAGAUAGCGCCAUCUUCGGAAGGCGUGUUAUAGACUUGCAUACGGUACAGUCGACGCACUGGAUGAAAAUGCCUGCCCAUUUGGGCUCAUAUGGCGGCUGUUUUAUCGUCGAGUGCCGAUGUCACUACUUCGGUAGAGUCGUUGGCCUCUGAUGGCAUUAUGGUUGUCCUCUAUGAUUGGCAUUGUUAAGUCUGUGGUUGUGAAGUAGGUAGUCCACCUGACCCGUCUUGAAACACGGACCAAGGAGUCUAACAUGUGCGCGAGUCAUUGGGUUCACGAAACCUAAAGGCGCAGUGAAGGUAAAGAUCUGUUUUGGCAGAUUGAGGUGGGAUGCUGGGUUACGCGCCCAGCCGCACUACCGGCCCGUUCUAUAUGUAUCUCAUAGGAGCGGAGCAAGAGCGUACACGUUGGGACCCGAAAGAUGGUGAACUAUGCUUGCGCAGGU